UAGAAUUAAUUGUUAAAAUAGUUAUAUUACCAGUCUGUUAAGUAUUAUAUAAGAUUUAAGUCACUAUUGUAACUUGGUACCUACUAAAAUUUCAAACAAGACUUUGUUUCAUCAGGUACCUAAACAAUUUUCAAAGAUAAAUUUGUAUCAUUUUAAAUUCUUUGAAACAUACGUAAUUAGUUUAAAAAUCGAUUGAAUGUUUUUAAAUGUAAUAUGUAAGACUAAAAUUUGACCACAUUGCAUCGAACAAACUGCCUGUAAAUUAUCUAGUGUAAAAAUUAUUCAUAUUCGAGUGGUUGACACAUCAUUAAUGAAUGAAAAUGAGAAUAUAAUUUUGAUGUUUUUAAUUGAAAUUCGUUGAACAUUGUGAUUUGAGAACAUUAUUAUAACAAAAAAACCUAAACUGCUGAUUUGUGUAUUAUGAUUUAUGACUAUUACAAGAUCAGUCUUUGAUCAAUUUUCACAAUAUGUCAGUAUACUAUAAUGGGUCAAUUUAGAAUUAUUUUGUUUCAUCGAGAUACGUGACUUAUUUGAAUAAACAAACAAAGUUGGCGAUAAAAUUCACAGAUUCAAGGAACAAAACAUUCAAAGCUGAAUAACAAUUUCUUCAAAUCGAUAAAUUUCAUAGAAAAAUAAGGCAACCUAACGCACUGAAAAUUAUAAAAUAUUUUUUCAUGAUGAGAGUUUCAGCAGUAUAAUUUAUUACUAAUUAGACUAAAGUUCAAGAUUUCCAGGAGGAAGAUAUUCAAGGUAAAAUAAAUCUAUUCAACUGGAAGAAAUAUAAAUACUUUAUUAUGUUGAAAUUUCAAAACUUGAUUAUUAUUAUUAAAAAAUAAUAAUUAGUAAAAAUUGUCAACAAGAUUAAAAACGGUUGAAAUCAUGUUGUAUUGGAAAAUAAAUAUUGGAAAGAUUAUUACAUAAAGACUUACGCUGUUGCAACUUAGAAUUAUUUACAUAUUAUGAAGAAACCGCUUAUCAAGACUUAUCAAAAUCUCAACUAAACUCAGUUAUUGACUCUGUCAAACAACCAGAAGAAAAGGUGUCUAGGUUAUAAUUUUCUUACCUAACUAGAACACAUUAUGCUUAUAACAAUCAGUCGAUGAAACAUUUCAUUUGACCAUAACUGGGUCACAAAAAUUAUAUUUAAUGAUGCAAUCAUGUCAAACUCAUGGUCAAAUAAUCAAUUACUCGAAUAAUGUUUUAGAUUUAAUAAAUAAUAAAAAAAAAAAAAUUGUACUCAAUGGACCUAUA
Molecule: long non-coding RNA, 1251 nt
Organism: Myzus persicae (green peach aphid)
Lineage: Eukaryota; Metazoa; Arthropoda; Insecta; Hemiptera; Aphididae
Exons: 6
Source: RefSeq, a predicted model, not a curated record